Molecule: long non-coding RNA, 1164 nt
Filed under: Trifolium pratense (red clover)
Lineage: Eukaryota; Viridiplantae; Streptophyta; Magnoliopsida; Fabales; Fabaceae
Description: long non-coding RNA (TPRA_LNC003451)
Source: RNAcentral
UUUUUUUUUAUAAGCAAACAAUAUAUUAUAAAGGAGUACAAAGGGGUACUCAAUCCCUCACAAUAUAAAGCAAAUUAUAGUAUGCUUUGAAGACAUACAAUAGGAUCUAAACACCAUUCAGAAAAAGAGAAAGAGAACUUACGACCAAAACGACCCUUAAACCAAAACCAAGAAAAAGUUUUAAUAUCAUCUACAAGUUUGGAAGCAUCCGGUAAGUCUCCAUUAAAAACAACAUUAUUUCUAAGCUUCCAUAAGCACCAUGUAGUANNNNAUAAUUAGUCCAUGAAAUUCCCUAUACUACUCUUAUUGAAAAUGCUCUUAGAAUUUUUGUAUUUUAUUUUUUAUUGUUACAUAUUACACCUAAUUAGACUCAUGCACCGCAUGGGUCAAAGUUCUAGUUAAUUGAACAUUUGAACACAGGAAAAAUAUUUGCAACCUAAUCUUCUAUGAAUUGAAACCACAACAUACAUAUCACCACAACAUAGUCCAUGAUGACGCCUCUUUCCAUAUCCAGGCAUGAAUUAAGUCUUUUUUUUUUUUAUAAACAAACAAUAUAUUAUAAAGGAGUACAAAGGGAUACUCAAUCCCUCACAAUAUAAAGCAAAUUAUAGUAUGCUUUGAAGACAUACAAUAGGAUCUAAAUAAUAUUCAGAAAAAGAGAAAGAGGACUUACGACCAAAACGACCCUUAAACCAAAACCAAGAAAAAGUUUUAAUAUCAUCUACAAGUUUGGAAGCAUCCGGUAAGUCUCCAUUAAAAACAUUAUUUCUAAGCUUCCAUAAGCACCAUGUAGUAGCCAACCAAAUCAAAUGACGAAUCUGAUUACCUUUUCUUGAUUUAACCAAAGAACCAAAGGAUAAAAAGUGAUUCCAACCUUCCAAACCUGCGGUAAACUCUGUCCUAACCAUCUAUAUAUAGUUUCCCACACACCUUUAACAAAAGAGCAAUUGAAGAAUAGAUGGGAACAGUCUUCCAUUUGCAUAUAACAAAAAAUACAAGAAAUAUCAUGCGGANNNNNNNNCAAAAAUAUUAACUUUAGAUGGAACAUCGUUUUUCCAAAGCUUUUGGAUAGCAUCCAAAACAUUUGACUCCAAAACAACCGUGUUAGAAUAUUGAAGCAACAAACUAUAACACGAUUUAACCGUAAAAAGGCCAACCGAAUCC